CUUUUUAUAGUGUAAAAAACAUAUUACAUUUUCAUUGUAAAGCUGAAGAUUCCUUCUAAAAAAU
Molecule: transfer RNA, 64 nt
Filed under: Paranephrops planifrons
Lineage: Eukaryota; Metazoa; Arthropoda; Malacostraca; Decapoda; Parastacidae
Description: tRNA-Glu
Source: RNAcentral